Non-coding RNA from Acanthosepion pharaonis, 100 nucleotides. The record is from the annotation of a GenBank genome assembly. NCBI's taxonomy places the organism in Eukaryota, Metazoa, Mollusca, Cephalopoda, Sepiida, Sepiidae.
CAUGUUGAAAACACUGGUUCUUGUUUGACCACUGAAGUUAAGCAGCAUUGAGCCCAGUCAGUACUUAGAUGAGUGACUACUUGGGAAAACUGACUACUGU